AUCUCGGUAGUGUAAUGGAUAAAAGCACGGGGCCGAAUAGCACAAGUACGGGUUCGAGUCCCGUCCGAGGCA
Molecule: transfer RNA, 72 nt
Filed under: Haemonchus placei
Lineage: Eukaryota; Metazoa; Nematoda; Chromadorea; Rhabditida; Trichostrongylidae
Rfam family: tRNA
About the family: Transfer RNA (tRNA) molecules are approximately 80 nucleotides in length.
Source: Rfam by way of RNAcentral